UCUGGUGACUAUAUCACAGGGGUCACACCUCUUCCCAUUCCGAACAGAGAAGUUAAGCCCUGUAGAGCUGAUGGUACUGCACAUCUCUUGUGUGGGAGAGUAAGUCGUCGCCAGUU
RNAcentral lists this ribosomal RNA (116 nucleotides) under Calditrichota bacterium. The record is from RNAcentral. Lineage: Bacteria; Pseudomonadati; Calditrichota.